ACAAAAACAUCACCUCUAGCAUCACAAGUAUUAGAGGCAUUGCCUGCCCAGUGACUUUUAAGUUUAACGGCCGCGGUAUCCUGACCGUGCAAAGGUAGCAUAAUCACUUGUCCCCCAAUUAGGGACUAGCAUGAAUGGCCAAACGAGGAUUCAACUGUCUCUUACUCUAAAUCAGUGAAAUUGACCUUCCAGUGAAGAGGCUGGAAUAACAUAAUAAGACGAGAAGACCCUGUGGAGCUUUAAUUAACUAGCCUAAUUAUAACCAUCAAGCCCUAAUGGAACAAAAUAUAAAUAUUACGCUAGCAAUUUUGGUUGGGGUGACCUCGGAGAACAAAAAAUCCUCCGAAUGAUUAUAGCACAGACAAACAAGUCAAAGCAACUCACUAAAUCUAAUUGACCCAAAAUACUUUGACCAACGGACUAAGUUACCCUAGGGAUAACAGCGCAAUCCUAUUUAAGAGUUCAUAUCGACAAUUGGGUUUACGACCUCGAUGUUGGAUCAGGACAUCCCAAUGGUGCAGAAGCUAUUAAAGGUUCGUUUGUUCAACGAUUAAAGUCCUA
This 561-nucleotide ribosomal RNA is filed under the name Grammomys sp. RNAcentral describes it as "partial small subunit ribosomal RNA". It matches the Rfam family "Bacterial large subunit ribosomal RNA", at positions 1807 to 2598 of the family's 2925-position model. Lineage: Eukaryota; Metazoa; Chordata; Mammalia; Rodentia; Muridae. The record is from RNAcentral.